This 412-nucleotide ribosomal RNA is filed under the name Roseibium aggregatum. Its description in RNAcentral is "bacterial SSU rRNA". It matches the Rfam family "Bacterial small subunit ribosomal RNA", at positions 78 to 524 of the family's 1533-position model. The record is from RNAcentral. Lineage: Bacteria; Pseudomonadati; Pseudomonadota; Alphaproteobacteria; Hyphomicrobiales; Stappiaceae.
GGGACCUUCGGGGGUUAGUGGCAGACGGGUGAGUAACGCGUGGGAACCUACCUUUAGGUACGGAACAACAGUUGGAAACGACUGCUAAUACCGUAUGUGCCCUAUGGGGGAAAGAUUUAUCGCCUAAGGAUGGGCCCGCGUUGGAUUAGCUAGUUGGUGGGGUAAAGGCCUACCAAGGCGACGAUCCAUAGCUGGUCUGAGAGGAUGAUCAGCCACACUGGGACUGAGACACGGCCCAGACUCCUACGGGAGGCAGCAGUGGGGAAUAUUGGACAAUGGGCGCAAGCCUGAUCCAGCCAUGCCGCGUGAGUGAUGAAGGCCCUAGGGUUGUAAAGCUCUUUCAGCGAGGAGGAUAAUGACGUUACUCGCAGAAGAAGCCCCGGCUAACUUCGUGCCAGCAGCCGGCGGUAAU